GCGGAGGUGGUGGAAUUGGUAGACACGCUAGAUUUAGGAUCUAGUGCCGUAUGGCAUGGGGGUUCAAGUCCCCCCCUCCGCA
This 82-nucleotide transfer RNA is filed under the name Candidatus Dadabacteria bacterium. Its description in RNAcentral is "tRNA-Leu". It matches the Rfam family "tRNA". From Rfam's summary of the family: Transfer RNA (tRNA) molecules are approximately 80 nucleotides in length. Lineage: Bacteria; Pseudomonadati; Thermodesulfobacteriota; Candidatus Dadabacteria. The record is from RNAcentral.